This 302-nucleotide ribosomal RNA is filed under the name uncultured Glaciecola sp. Its description in RNAcentral is "bacterial SSU rRNA". It matches the Rfam family "Bacterial small subunit ribosomal RNA", at positions 30 to 334 of the family's 1533-position model. Lineage: Bacteria; Pseudomonadati; Pseudomonadota; Gammaproteobacteria; Alteromonadales; Alteromonadaceae. The record is from RNAcentral.
AUUGAACGCUGGCGGCAGGCCUAACACAUGCAAGUCGAACGGUAACAGAACUAGCUUGCUAGUUGCUGACGAGUGGCGGACGGGUGAGUAAUACUUAGGGAUCUGCCUCUGUGUGGGGGAUAACUAUUGGAAACGAUAGCUAAUACCGCAUAACGUCUACGGACCAAAGAGGGCUUCGGCUCUCGCGCAGAGAGGAACCUAAGCGAGAUUAGCUUGUUGGUGAGGUAAAGGCUCACCAAGGCGACGAUCUCUAGCUGUUCUGAGAGGAAGAUCAGCCACACUGGAACUGAGACACGGUCCAG